CCUGCCGCGCCAGUUCACCCCACACGGGAACGUCUUGGGCUCCACUAACAAUCUCUUGGAAGAGGAAAUCUUCAAGUACAUGACCCAGAGGCGGAGGAGGUUUUCGCCCUCUAACUCGUCUGCCUCCUCCUAUCGGUUCUCUGACUUGGAUUCAGCACUCGAGGACUCGUCGGAUAUGUACAAUCUGCCCAAGAAAGAGGACACCUCACUUGACCAGAG
This is a long non-coding RNA of Galeopterus variegatus (Sunda flying lemur), 219 nucleotides long. RefSeq lists it as uncharacterized. NCBI's taxonomy places the organism in Eukaryota, Metazoa, Chordata, Mammalia, Dermoptera, Cynocephalidae. The record is from RefSeq and is a predicted model, not a curated record. The transcript is spliced from 3 exons.